Molecule: ribosomal RNA, 441 nt
Filed under: uncultured Alphaproteobacteria bacterium
Lineage: Bacteria; Pseudomonadati; Pseudomonadota; Alphaproteobacteria
Description: bacterial SSU rRNA
Rfam family: Bacterial small subunit ribosomal RNA
Source: RNAcentral
ACCUGGCGGCAGGCCUAACCAUGCAAGUCGAGCGCGCCUUCGGGUGAGCGGCGGACGGGUUAGUAACGCGUGGGAACGUACCCUUCUCUACGGAAUAGCCUUUGGAAACGAAGAGUAAUACCGUAUACGCCCUUUGGGGGAAAGAUUUAUCGGAGAAGGAUCGGCCCGCGUUAGAUUAGAUAGUUGGUGGGGUAACGGCCUACCAAGUCUACGAUCUAUAGCUGGUUUUAGAGGAUGAUCAGCAACACUGGGACUGAGACACGGCCCAGACUCCUACGGGAGGCAGCAGUGGGGAAUCUUAGACAAUGGGCGCAAGCCUGAUCUAGCCAUGCCGCGUGAGUGAUGAAGGCCUUAGGGUCGUAAAGCUCUUUCGCCUGUGAUGAUAAUGACAGUAGCAGGUAAAGAAACCCCGGCUACUCCGUGCCAGCAGCCCGCGGUAAU